Molecule: ribosomal RNA, 2175 nt
Filed under: Pseudomonas tolaasii NCPPB 2192
Lineage: Bacteria; Pseudomonadati; Pseudomonadota; Gammaproteobacteria; Pseudomonadales; Pseudomonadaceae
Description: bacterial LSU rRNA
Rfam family: Bacterial large subunit ribosomal RNA
Source: RNAcentral
UGACUGCGUACCUUUUGUAUAAUGGGUCAGCGACUUAUUUUCAGUGGCGAGCUUAACCGAAUAGGGGAGGCGUAGCGAAAGCGAGUCUUAAUAGGGCGUCUAGUCGCUGGGAAUAGACCCGAAACCGGGCGAUCUAUCCAUGGGCAGGUUGAAGGUUGGGUAACACUAACUGGAGGACCGAACCGACUACCGUUGAAAAGUUAGCGGAUGACCUGUGGAUCGGAGUGAAAGGCUAAUCAAGCUCGGAGAUAGCUGGUUCUCCUCGAAAGCUAUUUAGGUAGCGCCUCAUGUAUCACUGUAGGGGGUAGAGCACUGUUUCGGCUAGGGGGUCAUCCCGACUUACCAAACCGAUGCAAACUCCGAAUACCUACAAGUGCCGAGCAUGGGAGACACACGGCGGGUGCUAACGUCCGUCGUGAAAAGGGAAACAACCCAGACCGUCAGCUAAGGUCCCAAAGUUAUGGUUAAGUGGGAAACGAUGUGGGAAGGCUUAGACAGCUAGGAGGUUGGCUUAGAAGCAGCCACCCUUUAAAGAAAGCGUAAUAGCUCACUAGUCGAGUCGGCCUGCGCGGAAGAUGUAACGGGGCUCAAACCAUACACCGAAGCUACGGGUAUCACGUAAGUGAUGCGGUAGAGGAGCGUUCUGUAAGCCUGUGAAGGUGAGUUGAGAAGCUUGCUGGAGGUAUCAGAAGUGCGAAUGCUGACAUGAGUAACGACAAUGGGUGUGAAAAACACCCACGCCGAAAGACCAAGGUUUCCUGCGCAACGUUAAUCGACGCAGGGUUAGUCGGUCCCUAAGGCGAGGCUGAAAAGCGUAGUCGAUGGAAAACAGGUUAAUAUUCCUGUACUUCUGGUUAUUGCGAUGGAGGGACGGAGAAGGCUAGGCCAGCUUGGCGUUGGUUGUCCAAGUUUAAGGUGGUAGGCUGAGAUCUUAGGUAAAUCCGGGAUCUUAAGGCCGAGAGCUGAUGACGAGCUAACUUUUAGUUAGCGAAGUGGUUGAUGCCAUGCUUCCAAGAAAAGCUUCUAAGCUUCAGGUAACCAGGAACCGUACCCCAAACCGACACAGGUGGUUGGGUAGAGAAUACCAAGGCGCUUGAGAGAACUCGGGUGAAGGAACUAGGCAAAAUGGCACCGUAACUUCGGGAGAAGGUGCGCCGGUGAGGGUGAAGGACUUGCUCCGUAAGCUCAUGCCGGUCGAAGAUACCAGGCCGCUGCGACUGUUUAUUAAAAACACAGCACUCUGCAAACACGAAAGUGGACGUAUAGGGUGUGACGCCUGCCCGGUGCCGGAAGGUUAAUUGAUGGGGUUAGCUAACGCGAAGCUCUUGAUCGAAGCCCCGGUAAACGGCGGCCGUAACUAUAACGGUCCUAAGGUAGCGAAAUUCCUUGUCGGGUAAGUUCCGACCUGCACGAAUGGCGUAACGAUGGCGGCGCUGUCUCCACCCGAGACUCAGUGAAAUUGAAAUCGCUGUGAAGAUGCAGUGUAUCCGCGGCUAGACGGAAAGACCCCGUGAACCUUUACUAUAGCUUUGCACUGGACUUUGAAUUUGCUUGUGUAGGAUAGGUGGGAGGCUUUGAAGCGUGGACGCCAGUCUGCGUGGAGCCAUCCUUGAAAUACCACCCUGGCAACUUUGAGGUUCUAACUCAGGUCCGUUAUCCGGAUCGAGGACAGUGUAUGGUGGGUAGUUUGACUGGGGCGGUCUCCUCCUAAAGAGUAACGGAGGAGUACGAAGGUGCGCUCAGACCGGUCGGAAAUCGGUCGUAGAGUAUAAAGGCAAAAGCGCGCUUGACUGCGAGACAGACACGUCGAGCAGGUACGAAAGUAGGUCUUAGUGAUCCGGUGGUUCUGUAUGGAAGGGCCAUCGCUCAACGGAUAAAAGGUACUCCGGGGAUAACAGGCUGAUACCGCCCAAGAGUUCAUAUCGACGGCGGUGUUUGGCACCUCGAUGUCGGCUCAUCACAUCCUGGGGCUGAAGCCGGUCCCAAGGGUAUGGCUGUUCGCCAUUUAAAGUGGUACGCGAGCUGGGUUUAGAACGUCGUGAGACAGUUCGGUCCCUAUCUGCCGUGGACGUUUGAGAUUUGAGAGGGGCUGCUCCUAGUACGAGAGGACCGGAGUGGACGAACCUCUGGUGUUCCGGUUGUCACGCCAGUGGCAUUGCCGGGUAGCUAUGUUCG